RNAcentral lists this ribosomal RNA (468 nucleotides) under uncultured bacterium. RNAcentral describes it as "partial 16S ribosomal RNA". It matches the Rfam family "Bacterial small subunit ribosomal RNA", at positions 28 to 507 of the family's 1533-position model. The record is from RNAcentral.
GACGAACGCUGGCGGCGUGCUUAACACAUGCAAGUCGAACGGAAAGGCCCUGCUUUUGUGGGGUGCUCGAGUGGCGAACGGGUGAGUAACACGUGAGUAACCUACCCUUGACUUUGGGAUAACUUCAGGAAACUGGGGCUAAUACCGGAUAGGAGCUCCUCCUGCCUGGUGGGGGUUGGAAAGUUUCGGCGGAUGGGGAUGGACUCGAGGCUUAUCAGCUGGUUGGUGGGGUAGUGGCUAACAAAGGCUUUGACGGGUAGCCGGCCUGAGAGGGUGACCGGACACAUUGGGACUGAGAUGCGGCCCAGACUCGUACGGGAGACAGCAGUGGGGAAUAUUGCACAAUGGGCGGAAGACUGAUGCAGAAACGCCGCGUGCGGGAUGACGGCCUUCGAGUUGUAAACCGCUUUCGCCUGUGACGAAGCGUGAGUGACGGUAAUGGGUAAAGAAGCACCGGCUAACUACGUG